RNAcentral lists this small RNA (4560 nucleotides) under Pyricularia oryzae. Its description in RNAcentral is "Magnaporthe oryzae sRNA M_BR32_EuGene_00097901". Lineage: Eukaryota; Fungi; Ascomycota; Sordariomycetes; Magnaporthales; Pyriculariaceae. The record is from RNAcentral.
AAUAAUAUCCGUCGGUGGGUUAUCCAGGGCAAUUUUAAUAUUAUAUCCCGGGCCAACCCCGGUAUAAUAUAAAAAAACAUUAAUAUAACCCAUCCGUUAAUAUUUAUUUCGCAUUUGGCCAAUUUUCGAAUUAUCGGUUGGGCGCGUUUUACCGCCGUACCCAAUUGGCGCGUUUGGGGCAAAAAUAUCCUUUCGAUCCUUAACCGAAUCGCGCAUUUGUCGUUUAUUACCGCGUAAUAUUCGCAACCCAAAUUUAUUUAUAUAUUAACAAAUUGUAAAUUAUUUAAUAAAAUAGGGAUAAAAAAAGGCGCCCCGUUUAUAAAAUGUCGGAUUAAACCAAUUUUACCAUAUUUAUUUCCUAACCCCCUAUUUGCCUUUAUUUCGAUUGCGCUUUACGGCCUCCGCCCUUAAUUAAAUUUCGUAUCGAAAAUUAUUUAUUUCCUUUUCCAAAGAUUUCCGUCGUAAUUGCGGCCAUUACCGUGGAAAAACGCAACGCCGUUGCGUAAAUGCAAUUUGCUAUUUAAUAACCGGAAUUACCGCAACGCAAAUACGCCCCUAUUUCGCGUUUCCGCUAAUAUUCGUCGUUGGGGAUUUAUUGGGCGCGUGGACGCGUAUUUUUUUUAUUAAUAUCCGAAAAUUGGGUUUGUUCGGGUUUACGGUGUUUUUUCGCCCUUUUAUUGGAUUUGGAACCCAUUGCGGCCACGCCCGUUAUAAAUAUAUUUUCGUUUUUCGGCGGCCUGGGGGCCGUAACGGCGCCCGCGCGGUAAAAACCAAAACAUUUAUCCAAUUCGAUCGUUUUAAAAUUUUGGACAAUUUAACGGUAAAUGGCCACCGUUUUUAAAUAAAUGCCGUUUCCCAUACCUCGUCCGACGCACGUUUUCCAAAUCCUAAAAAAUACGCGGAAACGCAAAAAAUUAAUACGGACCUCGUCCGUCCAAAUUAAUUUUCCGGCCGUAACCAGGGUUUUUUCGAAAAUUACAAUAAAUUGGGCGAACGAUUGGCCCGGUUUUAUUUUUAACGUUUCAAAUUUGGCCAGGAUUUGCGUUCGUUUAUAGAAAUUGUCGUAAAUACGUUCCAAAUAAUCCAAAAAAUUUAUAUAACGAUACGCGCCGUUUUUACCGUUUAUUUCGUAAUAAAAACGGACCAUUUUUUAAACGAACGUUUCGAACCCUGCCCACAAAUAUUUAUAUUGGUCGCGGUAAUCGUUUAUAAAAUCCGCGUCGCGGCGGAAUUUAUAUUUUAUAACGUAUCGCCAGGUUAUAAACGAAAUCGGAACGCCGUCGUACAAUGGCGGGUUUCGAAAUGGUUUGCGUUUCGGCAAUACCGUAAUUUAUAAUAUUUCCGCGAUAAUUGAUACCGUCGGGGCCCCUAUUUGCAAAAUUUGUAUUUUUUUUUAUAAAUCCGCAAUUAUCCGCUAUAAUUCCUGAAACGCGGCGUCCGGCAUUUGGACGGCGGUUUCCUCCCUGGGUAACGAAUUUAUUAUCCGUAAAAAAGGAAAAAAAAAAAUAAUAAACGAUAAUAAAUAUUAUAGGGUAGGCCAACGAUUAUAUAACGGUUGGGUACCCGAAAAAAAUUAUUAUUAUCGCUAAGGAAAAGGAAAAAAAAGGGGUGCGGAAAAGGUUUUGGCGACCCUUCCUCCCUUAUAUAUAAUGCAAUUUAUUACGUGGUCCCCGCUGCUAUUUAUAUACGGGGAUACGUGCAAUUAGCACGAAUCCGUAAUAUAAACCUUUUAAAAUCCUAUAUAACGUGGAAAAACAAACGUAUCGUUUGGUUUUACCAAUACAAUUUAAAAAACUACAUAAUAUUUUCCCAAUACAAUUUUUUAAACUAUAAAAGCCCAAAAACCCAAACGACCACGAAACCAUACCUUACCCAAAUUUUAAAAACGAAAAAAACUGGAACGUGGAAAAAAUUAAGGAUAUAAACACCAAAAAUGGGGUUAUUUACUAUUUGGUCAAAUGGUUUAAUUGGCCAGCAAAAUAUAAUUAAUAAAUACCUAAAGAAAAUUUGUUUGCAAAAAGCAAAAUAAAACAAUUUUUACGGAAAUAAUCCAAAAAAACCAAACCAAAGGAAAAACCACUAUUACAAAAUAAAAACGCAGGGGUAAAACGCACGAAACGCAAAAGGAACCAAAACCCCUCCGAAUUUAAUUAAUAUUAAUAGCGUUAAAUACAAAAAAAAACCCAUACCAAACCCCAACCUAACCCUAACGUUUAUUGGGCGAUUCCAAAAAAGCACCAAAACGCUUUUUGGGAAAUAUACCAGUCGAAAACUAAUUUCGUCCAACACCACCAAAUAAAAACAAACGCGAAAAACGGAAAAUUGCCUGGUUAACAAAAAAACGGCCUCCACGCUGCGAAAUAAGGCGAGGAAAAAUAACGGGGUUUUUAUUAAAACAAAUAAAUUGCAAUUUUUCGUUAUUACGCAAAAUCGUUUGGUUAAUAACGGUCCUGGCGUAGGACGGCCGGGCAGGCGUUUCCACGGGAACAGCCCUGCGUUCUUCAAACCUUUGGUAUACGUGUCCCGAAUUAAAUACAGUAAUUUUACCAAACCGAAAAACAAAAAAAACACCAAUAUUAAAAAAGCCAGGUGGAAAAAGACCACCAGGGCCUCGAAACCGAUUAGAAAUAGGAGGACGAAUUUAAUCCCGCAUUUGGGAAAACGCAAAAAAAACCCGAAAUUCCUGGGGAAAAACAGGUGGAAAAUCCGGAACGUCACCAUUAUUAAAACCAAAACCAUUAUUGGAAUUAACAGGUGCAAAAUCGACAGGGGAACGAUAAAUUUCCACCCACGCCACCUUUUAUUAUUCCCAAUAUAAUUAUACCUUUUCGAAUUUUAUAUUUAUUAUUUGGAAAACGCGGUAAUGGAAAAACAAAAACGUAAAUCGAAAAACCGCCAACGCAUAAAACGCAAUACGUUAUUAAACCGUUUGGAAAACGCAGGGGGUUAAUCGAAAAACUCCUAAAACAAAAACGCUGGGGUUUACCAAAUUAAAAAACGUAACCUCCAUAAUUCCAAAAUAAUAAUCCCUGGUAACUUUUAUUUCGUUUAAAACACGAAAAUAUUUGGUUUUGUUUUUAAACGGGCCAAUUUGGCCCAAACGUUUGCGUUCCUUAAUUUCCAAAUGUUCGGCAAAUAAUAUAAAAUCGACCAAAACCCCAAAUAGCUUUUUAAUUUCGGUAGGCAAAUUUUUACCAACGUUAAAUUGGGCAACGAAUUCCACAAUAUCGAACAAAUAAAAAAAAUCCACGAAAUUGCCUUUUAUAAUCGCAAUCGCCUAAUAUAAAUUAAUUAAAAAAAUCGCAAAACGGUUACAAAGAAACGCAAAAAUUAAACAACCUAUUAACUCGCAAAUACGUAAAUUUUUUUUACAAUAAAAACAAAAUUUGCUUAUUUUACCCGUUUUAAAAAACGUUCCCUAAAUGUAUUUAAAAUCGGGGAAAUUUUCGGUAUUUUUGGCGAUUUUAACGGCGCGACGGAAACAUUUUAUACAAAUAAUGCGGUUAUAGGUUAUACUAGUACCAAUUUUAAUAAAAACGGGCGCAGGGGGAACGUUAACGUUUCCUCGGGCAAAACCUAUUACAAAACCAAUUUUAAAAAAUAUAAUAAAAAUAACAAAGAUCGAUUUAAUGCAAAAAAAACGCGACCAAAACGCAAAAAUAACGCGUGCAAAAAAUUAACGAAACCUCGUAUCGGAAAAUAAAAAAAAAAAAUAAAAAAUUUAACUGAAAAUUUUUUUCGUUAAAAAUUAAAAAGGUAAUUAACGUUUAAACCAGGUGGGGUUUACGAAUCGUUAACGUUAUAACCCAUUGUUUAUAACCUAAUACCGCCGCCUACCAAUAAAAACCCACGCGAAACAAUUGCGUUUUAUUUGCGUUUGCUAAAAAUUACCCCGCCUUAUAUUUAAAAUUGCUAUUUAAAACGAGGACGCCUUUAUUAGGGGGGGGAUAAUUGUUACGUGCAAAUUUAUUAAUACCUAAAUGCUAACGUACAACCCUAGGGGCUGGGUUCUGCUAAACCUGUAAAUUCGCGUUACGUAAAUAUAAUAGGAACGCCGUUUAUAAAUAGGGGCUUUUAAAUCCUAAGGAUAGCAAGUUAAUCCUAAAUCCUUAAAAAUCAAUUUUUAAUCCAAAUGCUAUUGUUUUAAUACUAUCGUGGAUUAUUAUACGCCGUAUUAUUGCCCUGUAUUUUGUUAAUUACCGUGUGCCUAGCCUGUACCCAAUCCCCGGUUAUAAUAUAAAGGUACAAUUAUUAAAAACAAAUGAACGUCAACAUUAUAACUGGAGGUUUUCGAUAAUUGGGGUAAAAUUAUAAUCGGUUUUAAAUAUAGUAAAUAUCGAGGUUAAAUAAAUUUUAAAUGCUAUUAAACAAUCCUAAAAAUAAAUUUAUUUAUACGGUAAUAAAUUUGCUUAUCUAGCCUGUGGCCCAAAUGUAAUUUCUUUUAAUCUCUAUAAAUUAUUUGACGUAAUUUGCUUUUGGCGUUAAUUCUAAUUUCAAAAAAUUAUUCGAUAUUAUACCUUGGUAAUUACGUAUGGUUACCCGAUUCCAUCCUUAUAAAAU